GAUGAACGCUGGCGGCGUGCCUAAUACAUGCAAGUCGAGCGAACAGACGAGGAGCUUGCUCCUCUGACGUUAGCGGCGGACGGGUGAGUAACACGUGGAUAACCUACCUAUAAGACUGGGAUAACUUCUGGAAACCGGAGCUAAUACCUGAUAAUAUAUUGAACCGCAUUGUUCAAUAGUUAAAGACGGUUUUGCUUUCACUUAUACAUUGAUCCGCGCCGCAUUAGCUAGUUGCUAAGGUAACGGCUUACCAAGGCGACGCUUCGUAUCCGACCUGUGAGAUUGUUCGCUCACCCUGGAACUGCGACACGGUUCCUCCUCUUACGGGACGCAGCAGUCGCGCAUUUUCCGGAAGCGUUGAGAGCAUGACGCAGCCGCGCCGCGUGAGUCCUGACGGUCUCAGGCUCUCAAAACUCUGUUAUUCGCGAAGAACAACCCUUUCAGUCAUUAUGAACCUCUUGAGUCUACCUAAUCAGAAAGCGACGGCUAACUACGUC
RNAcentral lists this ribosomal RNA (497 nucleotides) under uncultured bacterium. RNAcentral describes it as "partial 16S ribosomal RNA". It matches the Rfam family "Bacterial small subunit ribosomal RNA", at positions 28 to 507 of the family's 1533-position model. The record is from RNAcentral.